Molecule: ribosomal RNA, 467 nt
Filed under: Selenomonas sp. oral taxon 138
Lineage: Bacteria; Bacillati; Bacillota; Negativicutes; Selenomonadales; Selenomonadaceae
Description: bacterial SSU rRNA
Rfam family: Bacterial small subunit ribosomal RNA
Source: RNAcentral
GACGAACGCUGGCGGCGUGCUUAACACAUGCAAGUCGAACGGAGCGAAUGAAAGCUUGCUUUUAUGAGCUUAGUGGCAAACGGGUGAGUAACACGUAGACAACCUGCCGACAGGAUGGGGACAACAUUCCGAAAGGAAUGCUAAUACCGAAUGAAGCGGAGGAGAGGCAUCUCUCUUCCGUGAAAGAUGGCCUCUGAAUAUGCUAUCACCUGUCGAUGGGUCUGCGUCUGAUUAGCUGGUUGGUGAGGUAACGGCUCACCAAGGCGACGAUCAGUAGCCGGUCUGAGAGGAUGAACGGCCACAUUGGGACUGAGACACGGCCCAGACUCCUACGGGAGGCAGCAGUGGGGAAUCUUCCGCAAUGGGCGCAAGCCUGACGGAGCAACGCCGCGUGAGUGAAGAAGGUCUUCGGAUCGUAAAGCUCUGUUGAUGGGGACGAAUGUGCGUGAUGCGAAUAGUGUCAUGCA